This 497-nucleotide ribosomal RNA is filed under the name uncultured bacterium. Its description in RNAcentral is "partial 16S ribosomal RNA". It matches the Rfam family "Bacterial small subunit ribosomal RNA", at positions 899 to 1397 of the family's 1533-position model. The record is from RNAcentral.
ACUCAAAUGAAUAGACGGGGGCCCGCACAAGCGGUGGAGUAUGUGGUUUAAUUCGAAGCAACGCGCAGAACCUUACCUACCCUUAACAUCCCAGGACAGCUGCAGAGAUGUAGUGUUCCCUUCGGGGACCUGGUGAUAGGUGCUGCAUGGCUGUCGUCAGCUCGUGUCGUAAGAUGUCCGGUUAAGUCCGAUAACGAGCGCAACCCUUGUCCUUAGUUACCAGCAUUAAGUUGGGGACUCUGAGGAGACUGCCGGUGUUAAACCGGAGGAAGGCGGGGAUGACGUCAAGUCCUCAUGGCCCUUACGGGUAGGGCUACACACGUACUACAAUGGCAGAAACAAACCGUCGCUAAGCCGCGAGGUGGAGCUAAUCGGUAAAACACUGUCUCAGUCCGGAUUGCAGUCUGCAACUCGACUGCAUGAAGCUGGAAUCGCUAGUAAUCGCUGAUCAGCAAGCAGCGGUGAAUACGUUCCCGGGCCUUGUACACACCGCCCGU